GAUGAACGCUGGCGGCGUGCCUAAUACAUGCAAGUCGAGCGAACGGACGAGAAGCUUGCUUCUCUGAUGUUAGCGGCGGACGGGUGAGUAACACGUGGAUAACCUACCUAUAAGACUGGGAUAACUUCGGGAAACCGGAGCUAAUACCGGAUAAUAUUUUGAACCGCAUGGUACAAAAGUGAAAGACGGUCUUGCUGUCACUUAUAGAUGGAUCCGCGCUGCAUUAGCUAGUUGGUAAGGUAACGGCUUACCAAGGCAACGAUGCAUAGCCGACCUGAGAGGGUGAUCGGCCACACUGGAACUGAGACACGGUCCAGACUCCUACGGGAGGCAGCAGUAGGGAAUCUUCCGCAAAGGGCGAAAGCCUGACGGAGCAACGCCGCGUGAGUGAUGAAGGUCUUCGGAUCGUAAAACUCUGUUAUUAGGGAAGAACAUAUGUGUAAGUAACUGUGCACAUCUUGACGGUACCUAAUCAGAAAGCCACGGCUAACUACGUG
Molecule: ribosomal RNA, 497 nt
Filed under: uncultured bacterium
Lineage: Bacteria
Description: partial 16S ribosomal RNA
Rfam family: Bacterial small subunit ribosomal RNA
Source: RNAcentral